This 431-nucleotide ribosomal RNA is filed under the name uncultured bacterium. RNAcentral describes it as "bacterial SSU rRNA". It matches the Rfam family "Bacterial small subunit ribosomal RNA", at positions 29 to 506 of the family's 1533-position model. The record is from RNAcentral.
GCGAACGCUGGCGGCAGGCUUAACACAUGCAAGUCGAACGGGCACUUCGGUGCUAGUGGCAGACGGGUGAGUAACACGUGGGAACGUACCUUUCGGUUCGGAGUAAUACAGGGAAACUUGUACUAAUACCGGAUACGCCCUUCGGGGGAAAGAUUUAUCGCCGAUAGAUCGGCCCGCGUCUGAUUAGCUAGUUGGUGAGGUAAUGGCUCACCAAGGCGACGAUCAGUAGCUGGUCUGAGAGGAUGAUCAGCCACACUGGGACUGAGACACGGCCCAGACUCCUACGGGAGGCAGCAGUGGGGAAUAUUGGACAAUGGGCGCAAGCCUGAUCCAGCCAUGCCGCGUGUGUGAUGAAGGCCUUAGGGUUGUAAAGCACUUUUGUCCGGGAAGAUAAUGACUGUACCAGAAGAAUAAGCCCCGGCUAACUUCGU